UACGGGGGGGGCAAGCGUUGUUCGGAAUUACUGGGCGUAAAGGGCUCGUAGGCGGCCAACUAAGUCGGAUGUGAAAUCCCCAGGCUUAACCUGGGAACUGCAUCCGAUACUGGAUGGCUUGAAUCCGGGAGAGGGAUGCAGAAUUCCAGGUGUAGCGGUGAAAUGCGUAGAUAUCUGGAGGAAUACCGGUGGCGAAGGCGGCGACCUGGGUAGAUACUGACGCUGAGGUGCGAAAGCGUGGGGAGCAAACAGG
This 253-nucleotide ribosomal RNA is filed under the name uncultured bacterium. Its description in RNAcentral is "partial 16S ribosomal RNA". It matches the Rfam family "Bacterial small subunit ribosomal RNA", at positions 524 to 776 of the family's 1533-position model. The record is from RNAcentral.